AAUUUGAAAUCUGGCCCCCUUCGGGGUCCGAGUUGUAAUUUGUAGAGAGCGCUUCGGGCGAGGUCGCGGUCUAAGUCCAUUGGAACAUGGCGUCGUAGAGGGUGAGAAUCCCGUAUGCGACCGUGGACCGAGCCCAUGUGAAGCCUCUUCGACGAGUCGAGUUGUUUGGGAAUGCAGCUCAAAAUGGGUGGUAUAUUUCAUCUAAAGCUAAAUAUUGGCUGGAGACCGAUAGCGCACAAGUAGAGUGAUCGAAAGAUGAAAAGCACUUUGGAAAGAGAGUCAAACAGUACGUGAAAUUGUUGAAAGGGAAGCGCUUGCAACCAGACCUGCCCGGGGGCGAUCAGCCGCUGUUCUCAGCGGUGCACUCGUUCCCCGAUCAGGCCAGCAUCGGUUCCGGCGGUCGGACAAAGGUCCCGGGAAUGUAGCUCCCCUUGGGGAGUCUUAUAUCCCGGGGCGCAAUGCGGCCAGCCGGGACCGAGGACCGCGCUUCGGCUAGGAUGCUGGCGUAAUGGUUGUCAGCGACCC
Molecule: ribosomal RNA, 525 nt
Filed under: Oropogon lorobic
Lineage: Eukaryota; Fungi; Ascomycota; Lecanoromycetes; Lecanorales; Parmeliaceae
Description: eukaryotic LSU rRNA
Rfam family: Eukaryotic large subunit ribosomal RNA
Source: RNAcentral